This 245-nucleotide ribosomal RNA is filed under the name uncultured bacterium. Its description in RNAcentral is "partial 16S ribosomal RNA". It matches the Rfam family "Bacterial small subunit ribosomal RNA", at positions 524 to 768 of the family's 1533-position model. The record is from RNAcentral.
UACGUAGGGUGCGAGCGUUGCCCGGAUUUAUUGGGCGUAAAGGGCGCGCAGGCGGCUACGCACGUCCGUUGUGAAAUCGCUCGGCUCAACUGGGAGGGGUCAGCGGAUACGGCGCGGCUGGAGCGAGGUAGGGGGCAAUGGAAUUCCCGGUGUAGUGGUGGAAUGCGUAGAUAUCGGGAGGAACACCAGUGGCGAAGGCGGUUGCCUGGACCUCUGCUGACGCUGAGGCGCGAAAGCGUGGGGAG